ACGGGGUGCAGCAGGCGCGAAACCUUUACACUGCACGACAGUGCGAUAAGGGAAUCCCAAGUGCGUAGGCAUAGAGCCUACGCUUUUGUCCACCGUAGGGAGGUGGACGAAUAAGGGCUGGGCAAGACCGGUGCCAGCCGCCGCGGUAAUACCGGCAGCCCGAGUGAUGGCCGAUCUUAUUGGGCCUAAAGCGUCCGUAGCUGGCCGCGCAAGUCUAUCGGAAAAUCCACCCGCUCAACGGGUGGGCGUCCGGUAGAAACUGCGUGGCUUGGGACCGGAAGGCGCGACGGGUACGUCCGGGGUAGGAGUGAAAUCCUGUAAUCCUGGACGGACCGCCGAUGGCGAAAGCACGUCGCGAAGACGGAUCCGACAGUGAGGGACGAAAGCUAGGGUCUCGAACCGGAUUAGAUACCCGGGUAGUCCUAGCCGUAAACAAUGCCUGCUAGGUGUGGCUCCCACUACGAGUGGGUGCUGUGCCGUAGGGAAGCCGCUAAGCAGGCCGCCUGGGAAGUACGUCCGCAAGGAUGAAACUUAAAGGAAUUGGCGGGGGAGCAC
This 555-nucleotide ribosomal RNA is filed under the name uncultured archaeon. RNAcentral's name for it is "bacterial SSU rRNA". It matches the Rfam family "Archaeal small subunit ribosomal RNA", at positions 325 to 879 of the family's 1478-position model. The record is from RNAcentral.